This 577-nucleotide ribosomal RNA is filed under the name uncultured Aquicella sp. Its description in RNAcentral is "bacterial SSU rRNA". It matches the Rfam family "Bacterial small subunit ribosomal RNA", at positions 790 to 1368 of the family's 1533-position model. The record is from RNAcentral. Lineage: Bacteria; Pseudomonadati; Pseudomonadota; Gammaproteobacteria; Legionellales; Coxiellaceae.
GUAGUCCACGCUGUAAACGAUGAGGACUAAAUGUUGGUAGGGGAACCUAUCGGUAUUGAAGCUAACGCGAUAAGUCUUCCGCCUGGGAAGUACGGCCGCAAGGUUGAAACUCAAAGAAAUUGACGGGGGCCCGCACAAGCGGUGGAGCAUGUGGUUUAAUUCGAUGCAACGCGAAGAACCUUACCUACCCUUGACAUCCUUCGAAUCCCGAUGAGAGUUGGGAGUGCCGAAAGGAGCGAAGAGACAGGUGCUGCAUGGCUGUCGUCAGCUCGUGUUGUGAGAUGUUGGGUUAAGUCCCGUAACGAGCGCAACCCUUGUCCUUAGUUACCAGCAUUCAGUUGGGGACUCUAAGGAGACUGCCGGUGAUGAACCGGAGGAAGGCGGGGACGACGUCAAGUCAUCAUGGCCUUUAUGGGUAGGGCCACACACGUGCUACAAUGGGGCGUACAGAGAGUCGCCAACCCGCGAGGGGGAGCCAAUCUCAGAAAGCGUCUCGUAGUCCGGAUUGGAGUCUGCAACUCGACUCCAUGAAGUUGGAAUCGCUAGUAAUCGCGAAUCAGCAUUGUCGCGGUGAAUA